UUCGCUAGUAAUCGCGCAUCAGCCACGGCGCGGUGAAUACGUUCCCGGGCCUUGUACACACCGCCCGUCAAGCCAUGGGAGCCGGGGGUACCUGAAGUGCGUAACCGCGAGGAGCGCCCUAGGGUAAAACUGGUGACUGGGGCUAAGUCGUAACAAGGUAGCCGUACCGGAAGGUGCGGCUGGAACACCUCCUUUCUGGAG
RNAcentral lists this ribosomal RNA (201 nucleotides) under Bacteroides ovatus. RNAcentral describes it as "partial 16S ribosomal RNA". It matches the Rfam family "Bacterial small subunit ribosomal RNA", at positions 1331 to 1533 of the family's 1533-position model. Lineage: Bacteria; Pseudomonadati; Bacteroidota; Bacteroidia; Bacteroidales; Bacteroidaceae. The record is from RNAcentral.